RNAcentral lists this long non-coding RNA (1934 nucleotides) under Sorghum bicolor (sorghum). RNAcentral's name for it is "long non-coding RNA (SBIC_LNC010583)". Lineage: Eukaryota; Viridiplantae; Streptophyta; Magnoliopsida; Poales; Poaceae. The record is from RNAcentral.
UUUUUUGCAAUCUUCAGAAAAUUCCACCGGCUACGUCUUUCACUUGUUUAAGCUCAAAUUUCUAUGUUUACUUCUUUAGUUCUCAUAAGUAAAAGAAAAAUAUCAAAAAAAAAGAAUUGUAGGGUUUCAGAUCGUGUUGUUCGAAAGCCGGAAAGAUUUGUGUCUCGUUUCCACCAAAUCGAGAGUUACUAGAACCUUUUGGACGAUCAGGUCACCCUUAUUCUCAUCAAGUGGUAAUCCAAGCUUCUGGUAUACCGUUAGGUUCACAUCUAUCAUUAGUUUUGAGUGUUCUUGUGUUCAUCCCAUAAGUGUAGCCUUUGCAUAUUUUAGUUUCAGAGUCCGUAGUGUUGAGUUUGUGUCCUGGUCGAGGUCUUGUUGCUGGUUAGGUCUUCUUAGAGUCCAGUUCGUGUGUUUUUCCCCACCGUUUCCAUCAAUUUCUAGCCACCGCCGCAAAUUUUUUUCCACUUCCAGACCGUUUUGUCCUCUAAUUCAGAGUCCGUUCGUAAAACAGCCAUAACUUUCGCAUACAAACAACGAUUUCGACCUUUAGUUUCUAGUGUUCUUAUGUUUGUCUAAUAAGUCCAGCCUUUGCAUAUUUCAGUUUCAGAGUCUAUAGUGUUGAGUUUGUGUCCUAGUCGAGGUUUUGAUGCUGGUUAGGUUUCGUUAGAGUCCAAUUCGUGUGUUUUCCCCACCAUUUCCAUCAAUUUCUAGCCACUGCUGCAAAUUUUUCCUACUUCAGGACCGUUUUGUUCUCUAAUUCGGAGUCCGUUCGUAACAACCAUACCUUUCGCAUACGAACAACGAUUUUGACGUUCCAUACAUCAAAAUCGAUCAGAAAAAAAUUUUGAAUCUAUCUGUCCCCACUAUAGGUGGGUUCGACAAUUUUAGAAACCCCAAAUUCGUCUAUGAAUUUUGAGUUUACACCUCCUAAAGUUUUUUCACAUUUUUGGCAAUCUUCAUAAAAUUCCACAGGCCAUGUCUUUCACUUGUUUAAGCUCAAAUUUUCUGUGGUUACUUCUGUAGUGCUCCUAAGUAAAAGCAAAAUAUAAAAAAAAUAAAAAGAAUUGCAGGGCUUUGGAUCCUGUUGUUCGAAAGCCAGAUCGAUUUGUGUCUCGUUUUCACCAAAUCGAGAGUUACAAGAACCUUUCGGAAGAUCAGGCCCCCCUUGUUCUUAUCAAGUGGUAAUGAAAGCUUCAGGUAUACCAUUAGGUUCACAUCUAUCCUUAGUUUUGAGUGUUCUUGUGUUUGUCCCAUUAGUCUAGCCUUUGCAUAUUUCAGUUUCAGAGUCCGUAGUGUUGAGUUUUUGUACUGGUUGAGGUCUUGUUGCUAGUUAGGUCUUGUUAGAGUCCAGUUCGUGUGUUUUUCCCCACCGUUUCCAUCAAUUUCUAGCCACCACCGCAAAUUUUUCCGACUUCCGGACUGUUUUGUCCUCUAAUUCAGAGUCCGUUCGUGAAACAGACAUAACUUUCGCAUACGAACAACGAUUUCGACUUUCCAUAUAUCAAAAUUGAUCAGAAAAAAAGUUCAGUUCUGUCUAUCCCCACUGUAGGCAGGUUCAACAAUUUUAGAAUUCCCAAAUUUGCCUCUGAAAGUUUGAGUUUUCACCUCCUAAAGUUUUUCACACAUUUUUUGCAAUGUUUAGAAAAUUCCACAAGCCACGUCUUUCACUUGUUUAAGCUGAAAUUUUUUGUGGUUACUUCUGUAGUGCUCCUAAGUAAAAAAAUAUCAAAAAAAUAAAAAGAAUUGCAGUGUUUUAGAUCAUGUUGUUCAGAAGCCGUAUCGAUUUGUGUCUCGUUUCCACCAAAUCGAGAGUUAGCAGAACCUUUCAGAAGACCGGGCCACCCUUGUUCUCAUCAAGUGGUAAUUAAUGCUUUAGGUAUACCGUUAGGUUCACAUCUACCCUUAGUUUCGAGUGUUCUUGUGUUCGUCCCAUA